CUCUGUGCCUCAGGUCCCUGUCUGUGAAAAGAAGAUAAAUUGACUUCCCUGCUUCACAGUAAUAUUGGAAGAAAAUUCAUCUGAGACUGUGAGGUACUAUUGUGAAGUUUGUGAAAAGUGACUUCCAAGAAAAUCCAUUUGAAGAGGGAUCCACAGUGAACACUUAACAGCAUGAGGACAUCUUUCUACUUUGUUCAGUAGGCACAUCUUCAUUCAGCAGCAGGCCUGUGAUGAUGUUAAACAGGAUUGAACACAACACUGACCCCUGGAUACACCACUACCUGGCCUCCUGCUAGUCUUUGUGCCACCACUCUCUGGACCCAGAUAUUCAGGGUUGCCCUACUUCAAAAAUUUUUUUACUGGACACAAUCAGAGAUCUAAGGCCUGCAGAAGAAAAGAAAACUGGAUGAAAUGGAAGUAGAAACGACUUUGUCAAGUCACACAGAUAAAGGAGUGAGAAUUUUCAUUCUACCAUCUCUGACUUCUCUAAAUCCUUCCUGAGGUGAAAGAAGAAAAUAAUUAGCUGAAGGUAUUAGCAUGAAGAAAGAAGGAGUGAGAACAAAGGAGACAUAUUAGAAGUCAUCUUCUUCAGCAGCCUGCAGAUAAGAAAAAUAUGUUCUUCUGCUGAAACCUUCCUAGAUCACUAUAAUAAACUAAUUAAUCUCAGAUGGGUAAGAAAAAGCAUUAAAGUUACUUUGAGCUUGGUAAUAAUUACCUGCUGAAUGCAGUGGUCACAAAUUUUUCCCAUCUGCAGGGCUGUCUCCCAUCUCCUCAAUCUCACCACAAGAAAAUUGUGAUUUAUUAGUAGAGGUUGACGGGAGUAGGGCAUUACUCAUUGUAGGGCUUUUCGUUUUUUACUUUCCUAGAUGUGAAAUCAAGAAGGACUCAUUGUUUGGAACAGUAAAUAUAUGAACACAGGGACGAACAUCUGCAAAUCCUGCUGAAGGAAGCAUUUAUGUCUAGCCUACUGAGAAAUCUAAGGGAACAGAAAAAGGGGUAAUGGGAGACACUGAAAGAAGGAAGAUAAUGAGAGUGUUGUGGAAAGAGAAAAUUGAGAAUCUAGAGAAAAUAUUUUAACAUGAAAGAGAAGCAGACUUGGAAGCUCAUGAAGAGGACAGAAGUCUGUUGGGGACUGCCUAGGACAGAGACAAAGAAAAGCAGCGGGCCCACCUUCUUUCUUCUGGUUUUGCAGGAAAGCAAGCAUGAUUAGUACAAGCUUACCAAAGGAAAGGAGGGACUAUUUCCUUUACAUCAUUAGAUAUUAAAAAAAAAAUCAGACUAACAGAAUGGAAGAGCACUAGUGUCUGACAGAGGUAGAAUGGCUCUUACCAUCAUUAACCUGGUACCUAUAUGAGUUUUUGCUGCCAGGAUCAGCCAAAAGAGAUACAGGAAGGGACAGAGGAAGAAAGGGAGGGCUCAGAGAGUUAUGCCAAUUGGGAAAGAGGAAAGACUGAGAAGUCCAAACAAAUUAUUUUGUCUAUUGUGAAUGCUUCACCUUGUUUAAAUAUGAACCUAAUUGUUCAGUGUUUCAACUAAAAUGCUAGUGCUGCACAGAAUUAUGAGAGCACAUUGAUGAUUAGGAAACGUGUACCUGACAGCUGUAGAGAAAUAUUAAUUAAAAGUGAGGCAGAAGAGCACUACACAAAGGUAUUCUACUGCAUUAGAAGCACACCCAGUGAAUUAACAGAACAGUUAUCACAUAUAAACUGUGCAGGUAACACAAAGGGUGUUCACAUCAUAAACAGUGGUACGGACAAAGUACAAAGGACAGGGCAAUAUUCCUACAGUGAUAAACAAGGUUCAAUCAAACGGAAUGCAGUUUUUUCAGCUACUGACAAAACUACACAUAGAGAAUGUGAAAUGCUGAAUAUGUACUGAAAAAAAUGUGAAAAACAUAUGCUUUAAACACAUCUUUAAAUGGUUUUGAAAGAAGAAAUAUAACUGGGAUCACAAAGCAACAACAGCAAAGUGAUUUUCACUUCUCCUUAAGUAAUGAAAAGAUCAACACAAGCAUAAUGAGUAGCAAUAGGGGUUCAUGCUACACAAAAACAUUACUGAGAAAUCACAAUGGGUGCAGAAAAGUAGUCAAAGGCUAAAGAAAAUGCCAUCCUGAGGGAGAUAGAAAGAAUUCAAUCACUACAGUUUAUGCAAAAGAAAGUUAAUGACAAUUAAUGUGAGUGGCUUCACGAUGUCCUACAGAGAAAAUCUCUGUCAAGGCACUUGGUGAGCUAUAAAAGAAAGAAAGGCAAAACCUAAUGUCUGGAAGCUAAAACCAGACAAAUCCAAUAUGCAAACACACAGACUUUUAAUACUGAUUAAUGAGUGGAAAAACAAUUAUCAGAGGAAGUGAUAGAUUUCCUAUUUCUGUCUUGAUUGUUUCCCAUUAAAACUGGCUUUCUGGAAGUUAAACAGUAGCCAAACUAGUGAAUGGGCACAGGA
Long non-coding RNA from Motacilla alba alba, 2439 nucleotides. RefSeq lists it as uncharacterized. The transcript has 5 exons. The record is from RefSeq and is a predicted model, not a curated record. NCBI's taxonomy places the organism in Eukaryota, Metazoa, Chordata, Aves, Passeriformes, Motacillidae.